Long non-coding RNA from Puntigrus tetrazona (Sumatra barb), 517 nucleotides. RefSeq lists it as uncharacterized. The transcript has 4 exons. NCBI's taxonomy places the organism in Eukaryota, Metazoa, Chordata, Actinopteri, Cypriniformes, Cyprinidae. The record is from RefSeq and is a predicted model, not a curated record.
GGCGCUGCUUCACCAGUUGUAUAAACCCGACUAAACAGUAAACCCGUGGUGUAUUUUAUCGUGAGUUCCCACUCUGAAACUUAAUAUCUAAACAUCAUGUUAACUUAUUAAUCUAAACAUUGAAGAAGGUAGCCUGUCAGGAACCACAUGGCAUUUCUGCGACCAUCAUCUCACAACAGACGCUCAGUGUUCCCCGGUGAGAUUGGGAGCUAGGCUGUGUGAAAGUCUCUUGGCUGCCGAGUCGGGGUCUCCACCUCAGCCACAUGGCCUCCUGGCAGCGGCCCUCUUUUGGACACCGGCAGCAGCUUGUGCCCCACGCCCCUCACAGAUGCUGUGUCUUGAGACAGAUGUGCACCCCAGCUCGAUAUCCAAAGAAUCUAGGUGGAGGAGAGGAGCUCGGACUUGCUGGGCAGGUGCAGCAGGCGUUUGGAGAGCCGGCGGGUCGGGCUGGGUUUGGCGAGCGGCUGUAGCUUGUUGAUGCAAGCCAGGGCAGCUGUGCGGAACACGCUGUGGAUGC